AAAGCUCAGAUUUGAAAUCUGUCGUCAUUUUGGCGUCCGAGUUGUAGUCUGUAGAGGUGUAUUCGAGUGUGGCUUUGGCUUAAGUUCCUUGGAACAGGACGUCAUAGAGGGUGAGAACCCCGUUAACGGCCUUUGUCUUAUGCUCAUGUGAAUCUCCUUCAACGAGUCGAGUUGUUUGGGAAUGCAGCUCUAAAUGGGUGGUAAAUUCCAUCUAAAGCUAAAUACUGGCAAGAGACCGAUA
RNAcentral lists this ribosomal RNA (241 nucleotides) under Peziza depressa. Its description in RNAcentral is "partial large subunit ribosomal RNA". It matches the Rfam family "Eukaryotic large subunit ribosomal RNA", at positions 104 to 339 of the family's 3401-position model. Lineage: Eukaryota; Fungi; Ascomycota; Pezizomycetes; Pezizales; Pezizaceae. The record is from RNAcentral.